RNAcentral lists this ribosomal RNA (472 nucleotides) under uncultured bacterium. RNAcentral describes it as "bacterial SSU rRNA". It matches the Rfam family "Bacterial small subunit ribosomal RNA", at positions 443 to 906 of the family's 1533-position model. The record is from RNAcentral.
GAAAUAACGGCGGGAGGGCGAACAACUCUUCCGCUUGACGGUACCGAAGGAGAAAGCCCCGGCUAACUACGUGCCAGCAGCCGCGGUAAUACGUAGGGGGCGAGCGUUGUCCGGAAUUAUUGGGCGUAAAGCGCGCGUAGGCGGCUGGUUAAGUCCUGUGUGAAAGACCACGGCUCAACCGUGGGGGUGCACGGGAAACUGGCCGGCUUGAGUGCAGGAGAGGGGAGCGGAAUUCCCGGUGUAGCGGUGGAAUGCGUAGAGAUCGGGAGGAACACCAGUGGCGAAGGCGGCUCCCUGGCCUGUAACUGACGCUGAGGCGCGAAAGCGUGGGGAGCGAACAGGAUUAGAUACCCUGGUAGUCCACGCCGUAAACGAUGAGUGCUAGGUGUUGGGGGCGUCAGGCCCUCUGUGCCGAAGGUAACCCAAUAAGCACUCCGCCUGGGGAGUACGGCCGCAAGGCUGAAACUCAAAG